AUCAAGAUUCUGGCCACCGCGACCAUCACCAAUGAAAACUGAGACCAUAUUUGGACUCCACAAAACACCCUCUUCCAUUACCUAUGCUUCAAAUCGCCAAUCGUUAUACUUAAAAAAAUGGGGUUUCACCCUCGCCGCGGCUGUGUUGCCAAACUCCGGCCAACACGUUCAUCAUCUAGAAAAACUGACAUCAUUUUUGGAUUCCUCUCGUCGAAACCUUCAAGAAGCACUACUCAUUUGUGUGUUUCGGUGAAGUUGAUGCCGGACCCUGUCGGCGCCCCAGUACGUCGCCAUGUUUCAUUGACUCUGCAAAUUCGUCGAUGCUUUUAGACUCGUUUGGACGUGUUGUCGACAUCUCAUGGUUGCUGAAAAUCAUUAUGGUCCUUCUAUCCUAUGAAAGCGUCAAAUUGAGUUAUUUCAGGUUAUCGAUUGGGGAUCCACGCUCUGAAUAGGUGAUAUUGGGUGGGAGUAAUUUUUCGUAUUUUGUUGAGUUAUGAACAAUUUAGAUUUUUGUAAAUUUGAUUGAUCAAUUGUGUUAUUUUA
Long non-coding RNA from Cicer arietinum (chickpea), 543 nucleotides. RefSeq lists it as uncharacterized. Lineage: Eukaryota; Viridiplantae; Streptophyta; Magnoliopsida; Fabales; Fabaceae. The record is from RefSeq and is a predicted model, not a curated record.